GAUGAACGCUAGCGGCAGGCCUAACACAUGCCAGUCGAGGGAGAAGCCCUUUCGGGGGCAGAAACCGGCGCACGGGUGCGUAACGCGUAUGCAACCUACCUUUCACAGGGGGAUAGCCCGAAGAAAUUUGGAUUAAUACCCCAUAAUAUUAUUGGAUGGCAUCAUUUGAUAAUUAAAACUGCGGUGGUGAAAGAUGGGCAUGCGUCCUAUUAGCUAGUUGGAGUGGUAACGGCACCCCAAGGCUACGAUAGGUAGGGGUCCUGAGAGGGAGAUCCCCCACACUGGUACUGAGACAGGGACCAGACUCCUACGGGAGGCAGCAGUGAGGAAUAUUGGUCAAUGGUCGGAAGACUGAACCAGCCAUGCCGCGUGCAGGAAGAAUGCCUUAUGGGUUGUAAACUGCUUUUAUAUGGGAAGAAUAAGGCGUACGUGUACGUUGAUGACGGUACCAUAUGAAUAAGCAUCGGCUAACUCCGUG
RNAcentral lists this ribosomal RNA (478 nucleotides) under uncultured bacterium. Its description in RNAcentral is "partial 16S ribosomal RNA". It matches the Rfam family "Bacterial small subunit ribosomal RNA", at positions 28 to 507 of the family's 1533-position model. The record is from RNAcentral.